CCGCCGGGGAUUACGGCGUGACGCAAGCACGGGGGCCGCAGCGCGCGCACAGAGGUAAACAAAACGCGCGCGCGGCUGACCGCCUCGCCUCAGGCGCCGUCGCUCGCCUUGCGUUGUGUACAAGAUGAUCACAGCCAUCAGCAGAAGCUUUUCCCUCAGAACUGUUCACGAGGAACCAGGGGCACACCGGGGUCUCCCAUCUCACGAAGGUCAGCCAGUGCUGUGGAGGUCAAGUUUAACGACGCGGCUCAAGACGGACGAGCUGAACUCAAACAACUGGCAGAUGCACCGAUCUUGGAGGCGAGAGUCGCACGAUGACCAUGACUCCUGUGGCCGAUUUCUCCUCCAUCACAGUUAAACAGCUUUGUCAUUUUUCACCGUCAUCCUUAACUGUCCGCUUCUGCAGUCUACCCCCUGCUACCAAAUCGCCCCAACCCAUUCGGUGCCCUUAAAUUUCCUCUGCAUCCAUCCCGUGAUGCCUGCGCUCUUUUCCUCUUGUUUAAUUUUAUCAGGCCAGGAAGUCUGUGCAAAAAUUAGCUCUGAAUCGCACUAUCGAUUAUUAUUGAUGCGGUAGAUACUGUUGCUUCCAAGCUGUGUGGAGCGCUGUGCUCUGGGAGGGGGGCGUCUUGGAAUGCCGGGUUAUUAAAAACAAAGGCGACAAUAAACAAACCCCGCCAUCUCUCUCGGCGUGAUGUAACCGUUCUGAACGAUAUCUGGUGAGGCGGUGCC
Long non-coding RNA from Scleropages formosus (Asian bonytongue), 729 nucleotides. RefSeq lists it as uncharacterized. Lineage: Eukaryota; Metazoa; Chordata; Actinopteri; Osteoglossiformes; Osteoglossidae. The record is from RefSeq and is a predicted model, not a curated record. The transcript is spliced from 3 exons.